UUAAGGAAUUGACGGGGAGCACCACAACGGGUGGAGCUUGCGGUUUAAUUGGAUUCAACGCCGGAAAUCUUACCGGGACCGACAGCAAUAUGAAGGCCAGGCUGAAGACUUUGCCGGAUUAGCUGAGAGGUGGUGCAUGGCCGUCGUCAGUUCGUACUGUGAAGCAUCCUGUUAAGUCAGGCAACGAGCGAGACCCACGCCCACAGUUGCCAGCGUACUCUCCGGAGUGACGGGUACACUGUGGGGACCGCCGCUGCUAAAGCGGAGGAAGGAAUGGGCAACGGUAGGUCAGUAUGCCCCGAAUAUCCCGGGCUACACGCGAGCUACAAUGGUUGGUACAAUGGGUAUCUACCCCGAAAGGGGACGGGAAUCUCCUAAAACCAAUCUUAGUUCGGAUUGAGGGCUGCAACUCGCCCUCAUGAAGCUGGAAUCCGUAGUAAUCGCGUUUCAACAGAACGCGGUGAAUACGUCCCUGCUCCUU
This 481-nucleotide ribosomal RNA is filed under the name uncultured Methanosaeta sp. Its description in RNAcentral is "bacterial SSU rRNA". It matches the Rfam family "Archaeal small subunit ribosomal RNA", at positions 857 to 1338 of the family's 1478-position model. The record is from RNAcentral. Lineage: Archaea; Methanobacteriati; Methanobacteriota; Methanomicrobia; Methanotrichales; Methanotrichaceae.